GGCUGAGCUUGGUGACUGUGGGAGUGGGGGUGGGGGCGGCAUGGGGGAAAUUGGGCGAAGGGAAGAGAAUGUGAGAUUACAUGGAUUAAAAAUGAAGUGAAAACGAGGGUUUAAAACAUUUUUUUUAUUUUUUUUUAAACCGACGAUCAAGGCAGAGGAAGCGCUCAGAUAAUGGACACGAUGUUUGGUAUUUUGUUUGUUGUUUUUUUUUUUCCCCCCCAAACAAAAGAAUGAGCCGCUCGCGCGUUUAUUGGGAGCCCCGCGAAACCCCGAAACCCGGGACGUUUUUCAUUAAUACUAUACAAACGGGUCACGUGACGGCAAUCCAAUGGCCGAGGGGCUUACAUUUCAAAAGGGGCUACCGCCGCCCAAUGGCCGGCCACGAUGCAUGCAAAUAAGACUGGCUUUUUUCACCGUGGAAUGCCAACUAUUCCAAGAUGGAGGCUGCGGUCGACAGGCUCGAUGCAAACGCUGUGUUGAAGACCUGGAUGAAAGAAUAAAAUUGGAGAGGAUGUGGAAAUUGAUUCCAGAGGCGGGUCCUCCACACGGCUUCGCAGGUACUGAAGCACACACAUCACCACAAGCCACAAAAAGUCGGCUUCCUCUCGGCUAUCGUUUCUCCCUCGGCUCGUGUUUCUGCGUUGAACGUGGUCGUUUCAACUGUGUCUCACAUACCCAUGCCUCUGGUCUAAACGUGGUUUUCCUCCAAUGUUUAAGCCAGGACAUAUACUGCCAUUUCCGUUCCACCAUGAGCCAAGAAACAUGUCAAAAAGGACCGAGUGUGGGGAGGAAGGGAGAGACUUGCGUCCUUCUUUUUCAAUCUCAGAAUCAUCCAAAGUAAACCCAAAAGACAUGUGAAAGUCUCACCCAUGGGAACUAUGUCAAAUUCUGUGACGUGAGAGGUGGAUAAUGAAGGAAUUUAAAGCAAAACAAAACACAAAACAAAAGGAGCUAUUUUGGUCCCACAGCUCAACUGGCAUUUCCUAUGUGAGACACCUAAAACGUAACAGCUUGGGUCAUUGUUUAGCAAUUGGUCGGUUCUCCUACUCUUCCCAUUCCACCCCAUGAACGUAACAAUGGUUACUAACAUUGUAUACCCUGUAAUGUGUAUAAAUACAUAGUAUUUGAAAAUGUAUUUUUAAAUUUUUUUCCUCCCAACAUACCCCCUACUCCCUCCACCACAGCCUCCCCAAGCAAAACAUUUGAAUACAGCAGCCCAAAACUAAAUGAGUCAAACCAUUGUGGUGAUAUUCCCUUUUGGUGUGUGUUUUUUUUAAUGAAAUAUGUUGUUUAAACCAGGACAAAAUGAAAAUUCACUCACAGUUAAAAUGCAGUGACAUGCUUUAAAUGAAGUCAAGUUGAUGAAAAAUCCUUCCCGUGGUAUCUCCAGCUGUUUCCGAAAUGGGAUGGAUUCCUCGGCGUCGAGAGGCCGAGGCCUCAAGGUGAAUGUUGUUCAACAAAGAGCUGGUUGGUUGUCGUUGUGGUUGUUUAGCCAUGCAAACAAAAUACACCACUCGAUGGUCGUGGUGGUAAGGUAUAAAAGUCACGAUUAAAUGUUGAUGUGCUAUGGUUUUUUUUUUUGAAUAUAUUGUCGAGGCUCAUACAAGAGCUAACACACAGAACAUAUAACAAGGGGAGCAGGAGACAAGAGGGGGCAGGAGAGGGAAGCAUAAAACAGUGGGGAGCAGAGACAUUCGAUCUGUGUAGGGGAGAGGAAUGGGGUGGGGUACACUGGGUAAACAAGAUGGAUACUACAGGGGCUUUCAGGAAGGAAAGCAGGGAAUAUGAAGGAGGUGGGUUUGGGGUGGAUUAACAAGGGGUAGAAAAGAUCGUAGUUUUUGAUGGGGGAAGAUAUUAGAUGGUGGUGAACAGCUGUUUUGAAGACCUUGAGGGAAGAGUGGGAUUGAAGAGAGUGUGGGAGUUUAUUCCAGAAGUGGGGAAAAAGAGGAAUGAAAGAGUGAAGGUGAGCAGUGAUUCUUCAUUUUGGCAGUUUCACCAGAAGGGGGUUGCUGGCUGACCUUUAGCAUCCUGUAGAAAUACAGGGGGACAGAUCAGAGACAGCGGGGGGGGGGGCCCCCCCCCGAGAGGAGACUGAAGAAGACAGAAAGACCACCAACCUGCUUGCGGUCAGAGAGAUAGAGAUGGAGAUAUAUCCAAAGACUCGGCUUCAUUGUGGGAGAUACCAAUGAUACUAAAAACUUUGGUUUCCACAGAGUGAAGCCGAGCUACGUGAGAGACAGGAGCACCAGCCCAGAGAGGAGAGCUGCACUCCAUCAAGCUACGGAUGAAAGCUUUGUAUGUGGUUAGAGGCUCAGAUGUUCCAAGGAAGGACUUUGCAUGACAGAGGAUGCCCAGUCGGCGACCAACUUUGGAGGCCAGCUGAGAAAUGUGGCUGUCCCAGGAAAGAUCAUGGCAGAUAGUGAGACACAAAAGCUUGAAAGAUGAACUUUUUCAAGAGGAUUGUUGAGAAAGUAGAGGGGGGUGGAUUUCCAGAUGGUUCUUUCAGAGAGACAAAGUGAGAGCGUGACAUUUGUCAGGAUUGAAAGACAUUUGUCAGGAUUGAAAGAUGAACUUUUUCAAGAGGAUUGUUGAGAAAGUAGAGGGGGGGGGGGGUUUCCCAGAUGGUUCUUUCAGAGAGACAAAGUGAGAGCGUGACAUUUGUCAGGAUUGAAAGACAUGUUCCAAGUGUUUGACCAGCUUGUGAUUUUUAUCCAGGUCUGCAGGGAGUGAAGAGGCUGCUGCCUGCUGAUUUCAGGGAUGAGGGAUGGUACAGCAGAGGAUGGAGUUGUCAGAAAAGAGAUAGAGGAUUUAAAAGAGUCGGAGAGGUCAUUGAUGAAAAUCAGAAAAAGCAUAGGGCACAGAACACUACCUUGAGGAACUCCAGCCUGGACAGGAAGAGGAGAUGAGAGAGAGAGAGAGAGAGAGAGAGAGAGAGAGAGAGACCCCCCCCCCCCCCCCC
This 2959-nucleotide long non-coding RNA is filed under the name Eptatretus burgeri (inshore hagfish). RNAcentral describes it as "lncRNA (ENSEBUG00000017530.1)". Lineage: Eukaryota; Metazoa; Chordata; Myxini; Myxiniformes; Myxinidae. The record is from RNAcentral.